Long non-coding RNA from Neopelma chrysocephalum (saffron-crested tyrant-manakin), 663 nucleotides. RefSeq lists it as uncharacterized. The record is from RefSeq and is a predicted model, not a curated record. The transcript is spliced from 2 exons. NCBI's taxonomy places the organism in Eukaryota, Metazoa, Chordata, Aves, Passeriformes, Pipridae.
UGUAGGAGGGCACCACUUUGGUGGGAAACCCUUUGGAAUUGGGAUGCUUCAAUAAACUCCCUCCUAAAUUGUGUGACAGUCCUGGAACCUCUGGAACCCUCUGGAAAGCAGGACCCUCAGGGUCGGCUUUUUGGGGGCGUUUUAGGGGCUUUUGGGAAGGAAAAGGGGUCCUGUGGGUGUUGGUGGGCAGGGCAGGCACCACUUUGGUGGGAACCGCCCCAGAAUUGGGAUUCUUCAAUAAACUCCCCCCUAAAUUGUGUGACAGCUCCUCCUGUCCCUGUGCCACCCCCCGGAGCCUCUGGAACCCUCUGGAAAGCAGGACCCUCGGGGUCGGCUUUUUGGGGGCAUUUUAGGAGGGAAAAGGGGUCCUGUGGGUGUUGCAGGUGGGCAGGGUGGGCACCACUUUGGUGGGAAACCCCCUGGAAUUGGGAUUCUUCAAUAAACUCCCCCCUAAAUUGUGUGACACCCCCCCUGUCUCCCUGUGCCACCCCCUGGAGCCUCUGGAACCCUCUGGAAAGCAGGACCCUCGGGGUCAGCUUUUUAGGGGCGUUUUAGGGGCUUUUGGGAGGGAAAAGGGGUCCUGUGGGUGUUGCAGGAGGGCACCACUUUGGUGGGAAACCCCCUGGAAUUGGGAUGUUUCAAUAAACUCCUCCCUAAAUUGUG